RNAcentral lists this ribosomal RNA (451 nucleotides) under uncultured bacterium. Its description in RNAcentral is "bacterial SSU rRNA". It matches the Rfam family "Bacterial small subunit ribosomal RNA", at positions 354 to 796 of the family's 1533-position model. The record is from RNAcentral.
GUGGGGAAUAUUGGACAAUGGGGGGAACCCUGAUCCAGCCAUGCCGCGUGUGUGAAGAAGGCCUUUUGGUUGUAAAGCACUUUAAGCGAGGAGGAGGCUACCGAGAUUAAUACUCUUGGAUAGUGGACGUUACUCGCAGAAUAAGCACCGGCUAACUCUGUGCCAGCAGCCGCGGUAAUACAGAGGGUGCAAGCGUUAAUCGGAUUUACUGGGCGUAAAGCGCGCGUAGGUGGCCAAUUAAGUCAAAUGUGAAAUCCCCGAGCUUAACUUGGGAAUUGCAUUCGAUACUGGUUGGCUAGAGUAUGGGAGAGGAUGGUAGAAUUCCAGGUGUAGCGGUGAAAUGCGUAGAGAUCUGGAGGAAUACCGAUGGCGAAGGCAGCCAUCUGGCCUAAUACUGACACUGAGGUGCGAAAGCAUGGGGAGCAAACAGGAUUAGAUACCCUUGUGGUCC